Clostridium sp. is the source of this 90-nucleotide non-coding RNA. The record is from Rfam. NCBI's taxonomy places the organism in Bacteria, Bacillati, Bacillota, Clostridia, Eubacteriales, Clostridiaceae.
GAGCGCCGUGUGACGGGAAAGCCGUCAUGCACGGUGCGGGGUGGGGGAAAAGCCGGAAACAUUAGAAACUGUAGGCUUACCUAUCACCAU